GGUGUGUCCCCAGGGGAGGGUCUGAGCGCUAGGUCUUUCCUGGGAUGCGUGUGUGAGCCUACGUCGGCUUCCUCAUUCUCGGGUUUAGACACAGUGACCUCACAUACUCUGACAUGGAGAGUCAGAGCUCAGUAGCACUGUCCCUAGAGAGAGAAGGGGCCACUCCUGGCUUGUCCUGUCCACGGUGCACAUCCUGCCUGCCCCAAGUGCUACGCAGGGACAUGGGCUCCAGGCUGACCUCUCAGAACGAGGGCCUGCACCUUCCUUCUGGAUGCCCCGUUCCAGGACCCAGAGGCACGACUGGUCCUUAUUCCUUAUUGGGGAGGGUCCUCUCACUGUGCCUGGGAUUCUUCCAUCAGCAUUAACUACGUUCUUUUAACAAAGACAUCAUAACUUCUCCAAAGGAAACUCGAUGCAUUCCAGUGGAAGCAGGAAAUGCAAAUGCACAGGACACAGAGAUGUUUCUGAAAACUUGGGUAAAAACACACAGGAGGGGUAUCGAGGAGGGGCCGGGUGGAGACUGCUUCUUCAGAUUCUCUUCCGCUUCUCUGUUAACGACAUGCCUCUCCUGGACCCCAGGGUGUUAAAGAUCCAGGGACCCCCAGGAGGGCCACCGUCCCCUGGGGCUCUACUUCCAAUUCCCAGGGAGGGAGAGUCUGGUUGGGAGCCACUCAGCUACCAACUCAAGUGUAUGGCUGUCAAGGGGGCGUAUCGUGAACGGCAGACACCCAGACGGGUGACCUGAAGCAGGUGGAGAAUGAAGCCACGUCACCCCAUCCAACCCUCUGGCGCAUGGAGCAAGCAUGGUCUGAGAGCCUGCGGUGGCCGGCAGCACCGUGAGAAGCCGUGAAAGUCCACCAACUGCCCUCUGGUCUGCGGGCGGCGCCUGGCCAAGCUGCAUUCUGCUCCUCGUCAAUCCGGGCCCAAGCUGGGCUCCUUGGCUCAGGGCUUUGGGCUUCCAACAAACGGGCUUGGCUCGGGAGUCAGCCUGCGGUCAUCUGCAGGUGAUCCACGGGACGCUGGCCUCUGCCUGGCAGACCCUGUUGGCAAAGUUAUUGCCCGUUAACAGAUUCUCGCGGCCCUAACGCCCACCUUGGAGGACAGCUGGGGCUGUGAUCGCAGCGUGUUCCUUUCUCUGCUUCAUUACCGCGCUGUGGGUGUCUCUGCGCCUCUGUUUACUUUGCCUCCUGCGCAGCUGAAAGCCAGGUGCCACCUGCUCUGGGGAAGGUUAGCGAG
RNAcentral lists this long non-coding RNA (1236 nucleotides) under Marmota monax (woodchuck). The record is from RNAcentral. Lineage: Eukaryota; Metazoa; Chordata; Mammalia; Rodentia; Sciuridae.